This 468-nucleotide ribosomal RNA is filed under the name uncultured bacterium. RNAcentral describes it as "partial 16S ribosomal RNA". It matches the Rfam family "Bacterial small subunit ribosomal RNA", at positions 28 to 507 of the family's 1533-position model. The record is from RNAcentral.
GACGAACGCUGGCGGCGUGCUUAACACAUGCAAGUCGAACGGAAAGGCCCUGCUUUUGUGGGGUGCUCGAGUGGCGAACGGGUGAGGAACACGUGAGUAACCUGCCCUUGACUUUGGGAUAACUUCAGGAAACUGGGGCUAAUACCGGAUAGGAGCUCCUGCUGCAUGGUGGGGGUUGGAAAGUUUCGGCGGUUGGGGAUGGACUCGCGGCUUAUCAGCUUGUUGGUGGGGUAGUGGCUUACCAAGGCUUUGACGGGUAGCCGGCCUGAGAGGGUGACCGGCCACAUUGGGACUGAGAUACGGCCCAGACUCCUACGUGAGGCAGCAGUGGGGAAUAUUGCACAAUGGGCGGAAGCCUGAUGCAGCAACGCCGCGUGCGGGAUGACGGCCUUCGGGUUGUAAACCGCUUUCGCCUGUGACGAAGCGUUAGUGACGGUAAUGGGUAAAGAAGCACCGGCUAACUACGUG